RNAcentral lists this ribosomal RNA (228 nucleotides) under Triticum aestivum (bread wheat). RNAcentral's name for it is "partial small subunit ribosomal RNA". Lineage: Eukaryota; Viridiplantae; Streptophyta; Magnoliopsida; Poales; Poaceae. The record is from RNAcentral.
AUGGGGCCACUUGAUAUUUUGAAUUUUUUGAAGAAGUGCACCUUAAUCUAUCCUAAUGUUGUUAUUGUAUACAGAAUUUUGUUAACCAUUCCUGUGACGGUUGCAUCCGCAGAAAGGAGCUUUUCUAAACUCAAGUUGUUGAAAUCCUACUUGCGUUGUACUAUGAGACAAGAAAGACUAUGGAUUAGGAACAAUAGCACUCAAAAAUUAUAUCUUGGUGAAGAUUAA